RNAcentral lists this ribosomal RNA (301 nucleotides) under uncultured bacterium. RNAcentral describes it as "partial 16S ribosomal RNA". It matches the Rfam family "Bacterial small subunit ribosomal RNA", at positions 509 to 807 of the family's 1533-position model. The record is from RNAcentral.
CAGUCGCCGCGGGAAUACGGAGGGUGCAAGCGUUAAUCGGAAUUACUGGGCGUAAAGCGUGCGUAGGCGGUUCGUUAAGUCUGUUGUGAAAGCCCCGGGCUUAACCUGGGAACUGCAUUUGUGACUGGCGAGCUAGAGUAUGGCAGAGGGGGGUAGAAUUCCACGUGUAGCAGUGAAAUGCGUAGAGAUGUGGAGGAAUACCAAUGGCGAAGGCAGCCCCCUGGGCCAAUACUGACGCUCAUGCACGAAAGCGUGGGGAGCAAACAGGAUUAGAUACCCCGGUAGUCCCUGUCUCUUAUAC